UUAAUUGAAGAGUUUGAUCAUGGCUCAGAUUGAACGCUGGCGGCAGGCCUAACACAUGCAAGUCGAGCGGCAGCACAGAGAAACUUGUUUCUCGGGUGGCGAGCGGCGGACGGGUGAGUAAUGCCUGGGAAAUUGCCCUGAUGUGGGGGAUAACCAUUGGAAACGAUGGCUAAUACCGCAUGAUAGCUUCGGCUCAAAGAGGGGGACCUUCGGGCCUCUCGCGUCAGGAUAUGCCCAGGUGGGAUUAGCUAGUUGGUGAGGUAAGGGCUCACCAAGGCGACGAUCCCUAGCUGGUCUGAGAGGAUGAUCAGCCACACUGGAACUGAGACACGGUCCAGACUCCUACGGGAGGCAGCAGUGGGGAAUAUUGCACAAUGGGCGCAAGCCUGAUGCAGCCAUGCCGCGUGUGUGAAGAAGGCCUUCGGGUUGUAAAGCACUUUCAGUCGUGAGGAAGGUGGUAGUGUUAAUAGCACUAUCAUUUGACG
This 485-nucleotide ribosomal RNA is filed under the name Vibrio vulnificus. RNAcentral describes it as "bacterial SSU rRNA". It matches the Rfam family "Bacterial small subunit ribosomal RNA", at positions 1 to 480 of the family's 1533-position model. The record is from RNAcentral. Lineage: Bacteria; Pseudomonadati; Pseudomonadota; Gammaproteobacteria; Vibrionales; Vibrionaceae.